Molecule: unclassified non-coding RNA, 868 nt
Filed under: uncultured fungus
Lineage: Eukaryota; Fungi
Description: sequence contains 18S rRNA gene, ITS1, 5.8S rRNA gene, ITS2, 28S rRNA gene
Source: RNAcentral
UCGCUUUGAUUUCGCCAAAGUGUCACCGCUUUCAAUGUGGGCGUUUGUUUACCUGGUGGUGAUCGGCGCAUUGAUCGGAUACACCGCUUAUUUCUGGCUCUUGCGCCACUGCGAUCCGGCAAAGGUCGCUACCUAUGCCUACGUGAACCCGAUCGUGGCGGUGCUUCUCGGAACUUUGUUUGCUCACGAACCCUUGUCAUUGCGGACUGUCCUUGGGGCCGCUCUGAUUAUUGGUUCGGUCGCGUUGGUGAUCACGGCACAACAACUCGGUCCGAAGAGGACCGCUCGAACAUCUGCCGCUCCGGCGGAGACCGUUGAUUGCGCCACCUGAACCUUGCCCCCCUUGAGAAGCCAUCUCAUAAAUAGAAGGGGCCGCGUGGCUGCCGAUUUUUGGCUUUGGUGAGGCGUCGACGAGGAAGCAUGUCCGUCCCGCGGCCGCGGGAUGACCGAGGAGCAACGAAGCCAAAGACAAAAAGCGGCGCCGCCCGCAGGGCAAGAGCCCUUCGCGGCGCCUGGCGGCGUUGCUCGUUCCUUACAGACCGCAAGGGUAUGCUCGUCACUCGCGCCUUGCCAGCCACCACGAAUUGCUCUUGCGCGGCCUCCUCCUAUUUAUGAGAUGGCUUCUAGAAAAUUGAUUGCGCCGCAGCGGCAAAUUCUGACAGCAUCUGCCAAUCCGCUCCGGCAAUGGCAUUACGGAUGGCCGCGGCAAAUAACUACCUGUUUAAAAUAUGAAAUACUUGUUUCAGACUUUAAUUGUCGUCGUCGCACUAAGCUGCGUUCGAGCAUUGUCCGCUGCUGAGGAAGAUCCGGUCAAAAUCUCGCCGGAUAAAUACAAAGUGAUCCUGAAGAACCGGCAGGUGCGGGUGGU